AAUUUUAAAAUACUAACGAAAAUUAUUUUUAAUGACAGACUGAAUCUUCUUACAUUGUCAAAGAGAAAGUAACAUUCUAAACUCUGAAAUUGCUAAUAGCAACAAAUUUGACUAUGAAAAUGUAAAACUAAAAUAAAUAAUAGCUAAGAAAAGAAUUUGGAAAAAUAUUUGAAUCAAGUGGAAUGAAACAUGAUUCAUCCUAAAUAUAUAGUUUGUACAAAUUAAUAAGAAAUACAUAGAUUAUAAUAAAUAUAUGAAGGACAUGAUUAAAAUGGUUCACUUAAGAGGAAAUAAAUAGAUUUUCCAUCUUAUUUAUAAACAAGUGCAAAUUGAAAUGAGGUACCAUUUUACUUCACUGCCUGUUACAAUGGAAAAUAUAUGUUACGAUGAACAUCUCUAAGAAGACUGUGUUGAACCUUAUACUCUCAUACAAUGCCAGUGACAUUCUAAACUACUAAUCACUGUAAGCAUUUGUAUCAAGCAAUAAAAAUUUUCAUAGCCUUUGCUACAAAAUUUGUAUUUAUAACAUAUAUAUGUUACAUGACAGUCCAUAGCAUGUUAUAAAUACAUAUAAAAAUAAAUAUGUAUAAAUGCAUAUUUACAUGUAUUUAUAACAUAAAUACAAGAGUAUGUUAUAACAUAAUACAAUACAUAAAAUUUAUAUUAUGUAUUAUUACAUAAUACAUAAAUAAUACAUAACAAAUAAUACAUAAUAUUUAUAACAUAAAUACAAGAGUAUGUUAUAAAAACAGUAUAAAUCAUAAGUGCAAUUAUUCAUUACAAAUUUCUAUAACAGUUAAAAAUAUUAGAAACAUCCUAAAUAUCCAUAUUUAAGGGUUUAGAAAAUUAAGCAGCAUAGACUCACGUGGAUUUAUAUGAUAUUGAGAAUACUGUGUACAGUCUAAUUACAGAUAUGACUUUGAAACAACUGUGUAAAAAAUGUGAAGGAUAUCUAAAAUGGAAUAUUUAAAAAUAGAAAAUCUAAAAAUAAUAAGAUUACAAAUGAAUACUUUUGAAAAUAUCCUUCACUGGCUAAGUUUGGUUGUGUAGCAGGUCCAAGAUGACUACUUCUCUAUUCUGUAAUGUGAUUAGAUGGCUUUUAUGAUUAAAAAUAAAAAGGCAAAUACAAUUUACUUAAAAUGUUAAGAUUCUUUGUACAGAAAAAUUAAAAUUGGAAAAAAUAAGUUACAAGAACUUAAAUAUAACCUGUAAGGGGGGCAAAAAGAAAUCUACUCUUGAAAACAAUUUAGCCUGAAGCAUUGGAUAUUUAUUUAAAGUAUCUCCUCUGUUCUCAGGCUUGUGCUAAUCACCCUGAUGGGUAGAGAGAAGCUCCUCCUCGCCCUGAGAAUUUCAUAAUCCCAUGGGCAAGGCAAGACAGAGCCACGUAACAGUCGCCCUGGUGGCUCCAGCAGUGCAGAGAGAGGAAGUCCUAUUAGGGAUGGAGGUCAGAGAAGGCUCCCAGGGGUGGGAUGUGUACACAGCCUGUAAGGGUGUGUUUCUAUUAGUUGACUUGUGUGUGAUCCUGUGGGGAGUCCUCCUGAAGGGUGAAAGAGCAGUCUCGUGCAGUUGGCCUUGGUCACUGAAACCGGGCUGGGCACCCCGGGAGGCCAGGCCCAAGGCAGUGUCCCUGGCUCUGACCUUUGCUGCUGCUUCCCAUCCAGACAAGUUCAGUAAGGCCCACGGACAGCACCCGGGCCUCAGCAGAGAAAAUUCAGCAUAUGCUGUGGGCCACAGACUUCCCUUGGGUGUGAGAUGAUGGCCCAGGAAGCAAGUAGCUCUGUGUUUUUUUAAAUGAACAACCUACUUCUACUUCCCUUCAACCCCCUUCCUAUACUUCCCUCUUGGUCUGCUUGCCCCAUUCUUUGUUUUCACCUGGUGGCUUUUCUGCUGUUCAUCUCUAGCUUUCAGGAUCACUCACACUCUCUGAGCCCCAGACUGACGUGCGCCCAAGGGGGUAAAGUCCAGCAAUACCGGGUCUGUCUCUGAUGGUCUCUGGGCUCUGGCAGGCAAGCACUGCCCCUGCUAGCCUUCUAGGGGAGGAGGCUGCAGCCCCCUACUCCACCCCGGAUGUGGGCACCACUCACCAGCAACCACAUGCUCAGACAUUAGAAAAAAGGCUCUGGGGUGGGUCUUCAGGGGAAAACCAAGCCCAGAGGCCGAAAUGCCUGUGAAGGGAAGGUCCAGACCAUUCAUUCCCUAGCCUCUUCUCUUCCCUGUGCAUCUUGUAAUUGGUGUGGGAAAAAUUCUUGACAGGUGCAGCCUGAACACUGCAUACCCAACUCUCUGUGAGCUCUAGGACCAUUUUCUUUUGAGAUGGAGACUCACUCUUUCACCCAGGUGGGAGUGCAGUGGCUUGGAUCUCAGCUCACUGCAACCUCUGCCUCCCGGGUUCAAGCGAUUCUCCCACCUCAGCCUCCUGAGUAGCUGGGACUGGUGUGUGCCACCAUGCCUGGCUAAUUUUUGUAGUUUUAGUAGAGACGGGGUUUCACCAUGAUGGCCAGGCUGGUCUCGAUCUCCUGACCACAAGUGAUCUCCCCGCCUCAGCCUCCCAAAUUGCUGGGAUUACAGAUGUGAGCCACUGUGCCCGGCCUCUAAGUCCAUUUUCCAAAUCCUUCCUGGGGAUCUCCGUGUGCUAGAGGGACCCCAAGUGAGGGUGACCUUAUGUCCCAGUUUGCCCAAAAUAGUCCUGGUUUAUGGCCCAGGUUAAUUCUCAUAGUGCCCCUUUCACUCUCAGAAACAUCCUGAUUUAGAUGAUAAAUUAUUUCAUGACUCUACCUCAAACCAACAUCAAACUGAACACAUACGCACAUGCGCCUCACUGUUCUUGGCAGUUAAGGGGACAGUGUCCAUAUGGUCCCUAAGCGGAGAAACCCCAGGCUUAUCUUUGACUCUUCUUUGUGAGACCUAUGAUGCUACAAUUACCUCCUGAAUACAUCCUCUCCUUUCUGUUCCCACUGCUCAUGAUCUAUUUCAGACACAAAUAAUUACAACCUACUGUGGGGUCUCCCUGGCUUGAGUCUCUCCCUUCUCCACAGUUCUGCCAGUGAU
RNAcentral lists this long non-coding RNA (3048 nucleotides) under Macaca fascicularis (crab-eating macaque). RNAcentral describes it as "lncRNA (ENSMFAG00000054223.1)". The record is from RNAcentral. Lineage: Eukaryota; Metazoa; Chordata; Mammalia; Primates; Cercopithecidae.